UGAAAUUCUCUGCUUGCAGAGAAUGGAUUAGUGGCGAACGGGUGAGUAACACGUGGGUAACCUGCCCAUAAGAGGGGGAUAACAUUCGGAAACGGAUGCUAAUACCGCAUAGGUCUUUGAGACGCCUGUCUCUUAGAUGAAAGGUGGCUUCGGCUGCCGCUUAUGGAUGGACCCGCGGCGUAUUAGCUAGUUGGUGAGGUAAUGGCUCACCAAGGCUGUGAUACGUAGCCGACCUGAGAGGGUGAUCGGCCACACUGGGACUGAGACACGGCCCAGACUCCUACGGGAGGCAGCAGUAGGGAAUCUUCCACAAUGGGUGAAAACCUGAUGGAGCAAUACCGCGUGAGUGAAGAAGGUCUUCGGAUCGUAAAGCUCUGUUGUUAGAGAAGAACAAGUCGGGUAGUAACUGCCCCGGCCUUGACGGUAUCUAACCAGAAAGUCACGGCUAACUACGUGCCAGCAGCCGCGGUAAUACGUAGGUGACAAGCGUUGUCCGGAUUUAUUGGGCGUAAAGCGAGCGCAGGCGGUCUUUUAANUCUGAUGUGAAAGCCCACGGCUCAACCGUGGAGGGUCAUUGGAAACUGGAAGACUUGAAUGCAGAAGAGGAAAGUGGANUUCCAUGUGUAGCGGUGAAAUGCGUA
This 641-nucleotide ribosomal RNA is filed under the name Marinilactibacillus sp. 192_(MB)_102mbsf. RNAcentral describes it as "bacterial SSU rRNA". It matches the Rfam family "Bacterial small subunit ribosomal RNA", at positions 67 to 692 of the family's 1533-position model. The record is from RNAcentral. Lineage: Bacteria; Bacillati; Bacillota; Bacilli; Lactobacillales; Carnobacteriaceae.